UACGUAGGUGGCAAGCGUUGUCCGGAAUUAUUGGGCGUAAAGAGCUCGUAGGCGGUCUGUCGCGUCUGGUGUGAAAACCCGAGGCUCAACCUCGGGCCUGCAGUGGGUACGGGCAGACUAGAGUGCGGUAGGGGAGAUUGGAAUUCCGGGUGUAGCGGUGGAAUGCGCAGAUAUCAGGAGGAACACCGAUGGCGAAGGCAGAUCUCUGGGCCGUAACUGACGCUGAGGUGCGAAAGUGUGGGGAGCAAACAGG
RNAcentral lists this unclassified non-coding RNA (253 nucleotides) under uncultured Micrococcales bacterium. RNAcentral's name for it is "contains 16S-23S intergenic spacer region". It matches the Rfam family "Bacterial small subunit ribosomal RNA", at positions 524 to 776 of the family's 1533-position model. The record is from RNAcentral. Lineage: Bacteria; Bacillati; Actinomycetota; Actinomycetes; Micrococcales.